AUAGAGCGUACAUAGAGUGGUGCAGUAUUCUAGUCGGCCUCCCGACACCGAAGGCGGGCCUAAAAAUUCGCCAAAGGGCACAUCGAUGAAGUUCCUGGUGUUGGCUUGCGACGCCCAGUCGUGGGCUGAUGCUGGGAGUUAAGGUUGUGGGGCGAUCCACAAUGGCAUGUGGGCGUUGACCCCGCUUCCGCGGAGGCCCAAGUGCGUGGUACGGCGCCCUCGCGCGCCGCAUUACGGCUUGGGGUAUGAACCUAUAUUGCGAGUCACGCGGAACGCUCUCCGGCUUGCCGGAUCGUUCCGUGAGGGUGGCUUGUAUGUAGCGUAGCCUGCCUUGAGUGAGUCUGCAGGGAUAGCGGAUGUGUAGAUACGAAGGUCUUAGGCCAAAGACCUGCCUAUCGGAUGCCGCUUGAAAUCUGAUUUGCAAAAGAGGCUAAGGGUCGGUUCAGGGCUGCUCGAGGAAAACUCCUAGACUGUUCACAUUGUGAGGCUUUGUGGGGAUUAUAGUGUGGUCUAAGUGGUAAUCCAGUCUGACGUCCGGCGACGGCGUCAAGACGCUCUUAAUUGGAAACGGCCUGCCCGGCGACGGGGAGGCGGGCGUCUGGGAAAACCUACUGGACCUAAGCCACAGCGUUUAUCCAGAAAGCUACCACUCCAACCAUUAUUGGU
This is a non-coding RNA of Paenibacillus dendritiformis C454, 666 nucleotides long. The record is from Rfam. Lineage: Bacteria; Bacillati; Bacillota; Bacilli; Caryophanales; Paenibacillaceae.